RNAcentral lists this ribosomal RNA (459 nucleotides) under uncultured bacterium. RNAcentral describes it as "bacterial SSU rRNA". It matches the Rfam family "Bacterial small subunit ribosomal RNA", at positions 29 to 482 of the family's 1533-position model. The record is from RNAcentral.
AACGAACGCUGGCGGCGCGCCUAAUACAUGCAAGUCGAGCGAGAAGACGUAGCAAUACGUUUGUAAAGCGGCGAACGGGUGAGGAAUACAUGGGUAACCUACCCUCGAGUGGGGAAUAACUAGCCGAAAGGUUAGCUAAUACCGCGUACGCUCCUUGGACUUCGGUUCAGGGAGGAAAGCGAUACCGUGGGUAUCGCGCUCUUGGAUGGGCUCAUGUCCUAUCAGCUUGUUGGUGAGGAACGGCUCACCAAGGCUUCGACGGGUAGCUGGUCUGAGAGGACGAUCAGCCACACUGGCACUGCGACACGGGCCAGACUCCUACGGGAGGCAGCAGUAAGGAAUAUUGCGCAAUGGGCGAAAGCCUGACGCAGCGACGCCGCGUGGGGGAUGAAGGUCUUCGGAUUGUAAACCCCUUUCGGGAGGGAAGAUGGAACGAGCAAUCGUUCGGACGGUACCUCC